Perognathus longimembris pacificus (Pacific pocket mouse) is the source of this 104-nucleotide small nuclear RNA. Lineage: Eukaryota; Metazoa; Chordata; Mammalia; Rodentia; Heteromyidae. The record is from RefSeq and is a predicted model, not a curated record.
GUGCUGGUUUGGGCAGCACAUAGACUAAAAUUGGAACGAUACAGAGAUUAGCCGGUCCCUGCGCAAGGAUGACACGCAAAUUCGUGGAAGCGUUCUGUAUUUAA